Molecule: ribosomal RNA, 467 nt
Filed under: uncultured bacterium
Lineage: Bacteria
Description: partial 16S ribosomal RNA
Rfam family: Bacterial small subunit ribosomal RNA
Source: RNAcentral
AUGAACGCUGGCGGCGUGCUUAACACAUGCAAGUCGAACGGAAAGGCCCAAGCUUGCUUGGGUACUCGAGUGGCGAACGGGUGAGUAACACGUGGGUGAUCUGCCCUGCACUUCGGGAUAAGCCUGGGAAACUGGGUCUAAUACCGGAUAGGACGAUGGUUUGGAUGCCAUUGUGGAAAGUUUUUUCGGUGUGGGAUGAGCUCGCGGCCUAUCAGCUUGUUGGUGGGGUAAUGGCCUACCAAGGCGUCGACGGGUAGCCGGCCUGAGAGGGUGUACGGCCACAUUGGGACUGAGAGACGGCCCAGACUCCUACGGGAGGCAGCAGUGGGGAAUAUUGCACAAUGGGGGCAGGCCUGAUGCAGCGACGCCGCGUGGGGGAUGACGGCCUUCGGGUUGUAAACUCCUUUCGCUAGGGACGAAGCGUUUUUGUGACGGUACCUGGAGAAGAAGCACCGGCUAACUACGUG